This 484-nucleotide ribosomal RNA is filed under the name uncultured bacterium. RNAcentral's name for it is "partial 16S ribosomal RNA". It matches the Rfam family "Bacterial small subunit ribosomal RNA", at positions 30 to 507 of the family's 1533-position model. The record is from RNAcentral.
AUUGAACGCUGGCGGCAGGCCAAACACAUGCAAGUCGAGCGGAUGAAGGGAGCUUGCUCCUGGAUUCAGCGGCGGACGGGUGAGUAAUGCCUAGGAAUCUGCCUGGUAGUGGGGGAUAACGUCCGGAAACGGGCGCUAAUACCGCAUACGUCCUGAGGGAGAAAGUGGGGGAUCUUCGGACCUCACGCUAUCAGAUGAGCCUAGGUCGGAUUAGCUAGUUGGUGGGGUAAAGGCCUACCAAGGCGACGAUCCGUAACUGGUCUGAGAGGAUGAUCAGUCACACUGGAACUGAGACACGGUCCAGACUCCUACGGGAGGCAGCAGUGGGGAAUAUUAGACAAUGGGCGAAAGCCUGAUCCAGCCAUGCCGCGUGUGUGAAGAAGGUCUUCGGAUUGUAAAGCACUUUAAGUUGGGAGGAAGGGCAGUAAGUUAAUACCUUGCUGUUUUGACGUUACCAACAGAAUAAGCACCGGCUAACUUCGUG